RNAcentral lists this ribosomal RNA (785 nucleotides) under uncultured bacterium. RNAcentral describes it as "bacterial SSU rRNA". It matches the Rfam family "Bacterial small subunit ribosomal RNA", at positions 65 to 828 of the family's 1533-position model. The record is from RNAcentral.
AACGCGAAAGGCUCCUUCGGGGGCCGAGUAGAGUGGCGCACGGGUGAGUAACACGUAGGUAAUCUACCUCUGGGUGGGGAAUAACAGCCGGAAACGGCUGCUAAUACCGCAUAAUGCAGCGGCACCACAUGGUGACAGUUGUUAAAGCGGGGGAUCGUAAGACCUCGCGCCUAGAGAUGAGCCUGCGGCGGAUUAGCUAGUUGGCAGGGUAACGGCCUACCAAGGCAACGAUCCGUAGCCGGCCUGAGAGGGCGGACGGCCACACUGGCACUGACAUACGGGCCAGACUCCUACGGGAGGCAGCAGUCGGGAAUUUUGGGCAAUGGGCGAAAGCCUGACCCAGCAACGCCGCGUGAAGGAUGAAGCUUUUCGGAGUGUAAACUUCAUAAGAAUGGGACGAAUAAGGAGGGGUUAACACCCCCUUUGAUGACGGUACCAUUUGUAAGCUCCGGCUAACUCCGUGCCAGCAGCCGCGGUAAUACGGGGGGAGCAAGCGUUGUUCGGAUUUACUGGGCGUAAAGGGCGCGUAGGCGGCGCAACAAGUCACUUGUGAAAUCUCCGGGCUUAACCCGGAGCGGCCAAGUGAUACUGUCGUGCUAGAGUGCGGAAGGGGCUACUGGAAUUCUCGGUGUAGCGGUGAAAUGCGUAGAUAUCGAGAGGAACACCUGCGGCGAAGGCGGGUAGCUGGGCCGACACUGACGCUGAGGCGCGAAAGCCAGGGGAGCGAACGGGAUUAGAUACCCCGGUAGUCCUGGCCUUAAACGAUGGAUACUUUGGUGUCCGGG